CCGGCGAUGUCCGAAUGGGGAAACCCAGUGCAAUUCGUUGCACUAUCGUUAACUGAAUACAUAGGUUAACGAGGCGAACCGGGGGAACUGAAACAUCUAAGUACCCCGAGGAAAAGAAAUCAACCGAGAUUCCCCCAGUAGCGGCGAGCGAACGGGGAGCAGCCCAGAGUCUGAAUCAGCUUGUGUGUUAGUGGAACGGUCUGGAAAGUCCGACGGUACAGGGUGAUAGUCCCGUACACCAAAAUGCACAGGUUGUGAACUCGAAGAGUAGGGCGGGACACGUGGUAUCCUGUCUGAAUAUGGGGGGACCAUCCUCCAAGGCUAAAUACUCCUGACUGACCGAUAGUGAACCAGUACCGUGAGGGAAAGGCGAAAAGAACCCCGGCGAGGGGAGUGAAAAAGAACCUGAAACCGUGUACGUACAAGCAGUGGGAGCACCUUCGGGUGUGACUGCGUACCUUUUGUAUAAUGGGUCAGCGACUUAUAUUCUGUAGCAAGGUUAACCGUAUAGGGGAGCCGCAGGGAAACCGAGUCUUAACUGGGCGUUAAGUUGCAGGGUAUAGACCCGAAACCCGGUGAUCUAGCCAUGGGCAGGUUGAAGGUUGGGUAACACUAACUGGAGGACCGAACCGACUAAUGUUGAAAAAUUAGCGGAUGACUUGUGGCUGGGGGUGAAAGGCCAAUCAAACCGGGAGAUAGCUGGUUCUCCCCGAAAGCUAUUUAGGUAGCGCCUCGUGAAUUCAUCUUCGGGGGUAGAGCACUGUUUCGGCUAGGGGGUCAUCCCGACUUACCAACCCGAUGCAAACUACGAAUACCGAAGAAUGUUAUCACGGGAGACACACGGCGGGUGCUAACGUCCGUCGUGAAGAGGGAAACAACCCAGACCGCCAGCUAAGGUCCCAAAGUCAUGGUUAAGUGGGAAACGAUGUGGGAAGGCACAGACAGCCAGGAUGUUGGCUUAGAAGCAGCCAUCAUUUAAAGAAAGCGUAAUAGCUCACUGGUCGAGUCGGCCUGCGCGGAAGAUGUAACGGGGCUAAACCAUGCACCGAAGCUGCGGCAGCGACACUAUGUGUUGUUGGGUAGGGGAGCGUUCUGUAAGCCUGCGAAGGUGACCUGUGAGGGUUGCUGGAGGUAUCAGAAGUGCGAAUGCUGACAUAAGUAACGAUAAAGCGGGUGAAAAGCCCGCUCGCCGGAAGACCAAGGGUUCCUGUCCAACGUUAAUCGGGGCAGGGUGAGUCGACCCCUAAGGCGAGGCCGAAAGGCGUAGUCGAUGGGAAACAGGUUAAUAUUCCUGUACUUGGUGUUACUGCGAAGGGGGGACGGAGAAGGCUAUGUUAGCCGGGCGACGGUUGUCCCGGUUUAAGCAUGUAGGCUGGUUAUCCAGGCAAAUCCGGAUAAUCAAGGCUGAGGUGUGAUGACGAGGCACUACGGUGCUGAAGUAACAAAUGCCCUGCUUCCAGGAAAAGCCUCUAAGCAUCAGGUAACAUCAAAUCGUACCCCAAACCGACACAGGUGGUCAGGUAGAGAAUACCAAGGCGCUUGAGAGAACUCGGGUGAAGGAACUAGGCAAAAUGGUGCCGUAACUUCGGGAGAAGGCACGCUGGUGUGUAGGUGAAGUCCCUGCGGAUGGAGCUGAGACCAGUCGAAGAUACCAGCUGGCUGCAACUGUUUAUUAAAAACACAGCACUGUGCAAACACGAAAGUGGACGUAUACGGUGUGACGCCUGCCCGGUGCCGGAAGGUUAAUUGAUGGGGUUAUCCGUAAGGAGAAGCUCUUGAUCGAAGCCCCGGUAAACGGCGGCCGUAACUAUAACGGUCCUAAGGUAGCGAAAUUCCUUGUCGGGUAAGUUCCGACCUGCACGAAUGGCGUAAUGAUGGCCAGGCUGUCUCCACCCGAGACUCAGUGAAAUUGAACUCGCUGUGAAGAUGCAGUGUACCCGCGGCAAGACGGAAAGACCCCGUGAACCUUUACUAUAGCUUGACACUGAACAUUGAGCCUUGAUGUGUAGGAUAGGUGGGAGGCUUUGAAGCGUGGACGCCAGUCUGCGUGGAGCCAACCUUGAAAUACCACCCUUUAAUGUUUGAUGUUCUAACGUUGGCCCCU
RNAcentral lists this ribosomal RNA (2104 nucleotides) under Klebsiella pneumoniae. RNAcentral describes it as "partial 23S ribosomal RNA". It matches the Rfam family "Bacterial large subunit ribosomal RNA", at positions 104 to 2236 of the family's 2925-position model. Lineage: Bacteria; Pseudomonadati; Pseudomonadota; Gammaproteobacteria; Enterobacterales; Enterobacteriaceae. The record is from RNAcentral.